Molecule: long non-coding RNA, 543 nt
Filed under: Meriones unguiculatus (Mongolian gerbil)
Lineage: Eukaryota; Metazoa; Chordata; Mammalia; Rodentia; Muridae
Description: lncRNA (ENSMUGG00000004962.1)
Source: RNAcentral
UAGAAAAGGACCAAGAUCUCUAAGAGAGAGGUUGGUAAAAUAAACAAACCUCUGUACCCUUCACGAGGCACGUGUAUUUGGACGGUUAAAAGUGGGUGGAAGAUGAUCCUUAGCACGAACUGAUCAGCAAAGUCAUUUCCCCGCGGACAGCCCACAGAACGUGCAGUUGUACCAAAAAGCCAACUGGUCUAUUUCUCAUAAGGUUUUCACCCAAGGAGCCAAGAAGUUUUCAGAAUCCAUAGCCACAGACAAGAACACAGACUGAACUGGUGUGCAAACCCAGACAACUCAACCCUGGGACGCAGACAAGCACGACAGUUUCUCGUAGUGUUUGCUCGCCUGCCUCAGAAGGGAAUUUCAGGACUUUGGCAAAAUACAAAAGAUGCCUGGGAGGCUGGCUGAACCUGACCUGACCUGACGGUGGAAUCCCACGUGCGCGUGAGAAGUGGCUUCCAUCUGGUCACUAGGUAGGCCUUGGCCGGUCUGCUGCCCACGCUACUGCCCCACCCAGCCACGCUGACCUCUCACCCCCUGCUGUGACUG